GGAUCAAUUUGUCGGUCGUGCCUCGGUACGUACUGGUAUUAUUGGUUUCUCCCUUCUGACGAACCACGAUGUCAUUAAUUUGGUGUUGUGGGAAAUCAGGACUGUUACUUUGAAAAAAUUAGAGUGUUUAAAGCAGGCUCACGCUUGAAUACAUUAGCAUGGAAUAAUGAAAUAGGACGUUUGAUUCUAUUUUGUUGGUUUCUAGGAUCGACGUA
Molecule: ribosomal RNA, 215 nt
Filed under: Glomus sp.
Lineage: Eukaryota; Fungi; Glomeromycota; Glomeromycetes; Glomerales; Glomeraceae
Description: partial small subunit ribosomal RNA
Rfam family: Eukaryotic small subunit ribosomal RNA (bases 37-215)
Source: RNAcentral